GUGUUCACUUCAGCAGCACAUAUUCUAAAAGUGGAAUGAUACAGAGAAGGUUAGCCUGGUCCCUGAACAAGGAUGACAUUUGUGAAGCAGUCCAUAUUUUA
RNAcentral lists this small nuclear RNA (101 nucleotides) under Castor canadensis (American beaver). The record is from RNAcentral. Lineage: Eukaryota; Metazoa; Chordata; Mammalia; Rodentia; Castoridae.